Molecule: ribosomal RNA, 428 nt
Filed under: Paenibacillus sp. EKM303P
Lineage: Bacteria; Bacillati; Bacillota; Bacilli; Caryophanales; Paenibacillaceae
Description: bacterial SSU rRNA
Rfam family: Bacterial small subunit ribosomal RNA
Source: RNAcentral
AGACAGGUGGUGCAUGGUUGUCGUCAGCUCGUGUCGUGAGAUGUUGGGUUAAGUCCCGCAACGAGCGCAACCCUUGAUCUUAGUUGCCAGCAUUUCGGRUGGGCACUCUAAGGUGACUGCCGGUGACAAACCGGAGGAAGGUGGGGAUGACGUCAAAUCAUCAUGCCCCUUAUGACCUGGGCUACACACGUACUACAAUGGCCGGUACAACGGGCUGUGAAGCCGCGAGGUGGAACGAAUCCUAAAAAGCCGGUCUCAGUUCGGAUUGCAGGCUGCAACUCGCCUGCAUGAAGUCGGAAUUGCUAGUAAUCGCGGAUCAGCAUGCCGCGGUGAAUACGUUCCCGGGUCUUGUACACACCGCCCGUCACACCACGAGAGUUUAUAACACCCGAAGUCGGUGGGGUAACCGCAAGGAGCCAGCCGCCGAA